UAAAUCAAUUGUGAUAAGAAAUAUCAUCAGGGUUAUUCCAACGGUUGUGAUGCUGAUUCUUCUGCUCCUUCUCUGUCUGUGGAUGAGGAAGAUGAAAACUCUGAGUUCCACAAAUGAACCAGAAGGGACUGUGGUGUGGGACUAUUAUCCUGUGAACAACAGCCCAAACGCUGCAGCACAGAGAGAGGACACAGAGGAGCAGG
Molecule: long non-coding RNA, 203 nt
Organism: Centropristis striata (black sea bass)
Lineage: Eukaryota; Metazoa; Chordata; Actinopteri; Perciformes; Serranidae
Exons: 3
Source: RefSeq, a predicted model, not a curated record